UACGUAGGGUGCAAGCGUUGUCCGGAAUUAUUGGGCGUAAAGAGCUCGUAGGCGGUUUGUUGCGUCGGCUGUGAAAUCCCGAGGCUCAACCUCGGGUCUGCAGUCGAUACGGGCAGACUAGAGUUCGGCAGGGGAGACUGGAAUUCCUGGUGUAGCGGUGAAAUGCGCAGAUAUCAGGAGGAACACCGGUGGCGAAGGCGGGUCUCUGGGCCGAUACUGACGCUGAGGAGCGAAAGCGUGGGGAGCGAACAGG
RNAcentral lists this ribosomal RNA (253 nucleotides) under uncultured bacterium. Its description in RNAcentral is "partial 16S ribosomal RNA". It matches the Rfam family "Bacterial small subunit ribosomal RNA", at positions 524 to 776 of the family's 1533-position model. The record is from RNAcentral.